UAUGUCCUAGUAUAUGAUGUACAAAAAUUUUUGAUAUUUUAAGAUAUAGUUUAAUUCUGUAGGGUGUAA
RNAcentral lists this transfer RNA (69 nucleotides) under Ocypus graeseri. RNAcentral's name for it is "tRNA-Gln". Lineage: Eukaryota; Metazoa; Arthropoda; Insecta; Coleoptera; Staphylinidae. The record is from RNAcentral.